UACAGAGGGUGCAAGCGUUGUUCGGAAUUACUGGGCGUAAAGCGCAUGUAGGCGGUCUAAUAAGUCGGUCGUGAAAGCCCUUGGCUUAACCAAGGAACUGCGAUCGAAACUAUUAGACUAGAGUAUCGGAGGGGAUGGUGGAAUUCCCGGUGUAGAGGUGAAAUUCGUAGAUAUCGGGAGGAACACCUGUGGCGAAGGCGACCAUCUGGAAGAUUACUGACGCUGAGACGCGAAAGCGUGGGGAGCAAACAGG
Molecule: ribosomal RNA, 253 nt
Filed under: uncultured bacterium
Lineage: Bacteria
Description: partial 16S ribosomal RNA
Rfam family: Bacterial small subunit ribosomal RNA
Source: RNAcentral